GGGAAUGUAGUUAAAAAUAAUAUUUAAUUUGCAAUUAAAAGGUAUCAAUAUGAUCUUUCUCA
This 62-nucleotide transfer RNA is filed under the name Vesperocoris paddocki. RNAcentral's name for it is "tRNA-Ala". It matches the Rfam family "tRNA". From Rfam's summary of the family: Transfer RNA (tRNA) molecules are approximately 80 nucleotides in length. Their secondary structure includes four short double-helical elements and three loops (D, anti-codon, and T loops). Further hydrogen bonds mediate the characteristic L-shaped molecular structure. tRNAs have two regions of fundamental functional importance: the anti-codon, which is responsible for specific mRNA codon recognition, and the 3' end, to which the tRNAs corresponding amino acid is attached (by aminoacyl-tRNA synthetases). tRNAs cope with the degeneracy of the genetic code in two manners: having more than one tRNA (with a specific anti-codon) for a particular amino acid; and 'wobble' base-pairing, i.e. permitting non-standard base-pairing at the 3rd anti-codon position. Lineage: Eukaryota; Metazoa; Arthropoda; Insecta; Hemiptera; Miridae. The record is from RNAcentral.